This 482-nucleotide ribosomal RNA is filed under the name uncultured bacterium. RNAcentral describes it as "partial 16S ribosomal RNA". It matches the Rfam family "Bacterial small subunit ribosomal RNA", at positions 30 to 507 of the family's 1533-position model. The record is from RNAcentral.
AUUGAACGCUGGCGGCAUGCCUUACACAUGCAAGUCGAACGGUAACAGGUCUUCGGCUGCUGAUGAGUGGCGACCGGUUGAGUAAUACAUCGGAACGUACCCGAACGUGGGGUUUAAUGGGGCGUAACCUUUGCUAAUACCCCCUACUACCUCCGACGACCUGCGGGGGAUCUCCGGACCUCUUCCGACCUUGCCGGCCGAUGGCAGAUUAUGUAGUUGGUGGUAUAAAGGCUUACCAAGCCGACGAUCUGUAGCUGGUCUGAGAGGAUGAUCAGCCACACUGGGACUGAGACACGGCCCAGACUCCUACGGGAGGCAGCAGUGGGGAAUUUUGGACAAUGGGCGAAAGCCUGAUCCAGCCAUGCCGCGUGCAGGAUGAAGGCCUUCGGGUUGUAAAGUGCUUUUGUACGGAACGAAAAGCAUCAGGCUAAUAAAGAGGGGUCAUGACGGUACCGUAAGAAUAAGCACCGGCUAACUACGUG